GCGGAUGUGGCGAAAUCAGGAAAACGCACCAGAGUUAGGAUCUUGCGGUUAACAACACCUUGUGGGUUCGAGUCCCAUCAUCCGUA
Molecule: transfer RNA, 86 nt
Filed under: Blautia faecis
Lineage: Bacteria; Bacillati; Bacillota; Clostridia; Lachnospirales; Lachnospiraceae
Also listed under: 1 other name
Description: tRNA-Leu
Rfam family: tRNA
About the family: Transfer RNA (tRNA) molecules are approximately 80 nucleotides in length. Their secondary structure includes four short double-helical elements and three loops (D, anti-codon, and T loops).
Source: RNAcentral